Non-coding RNA from Musa acuminata subsp. malaccensis (wild Malaysian banana), 197 nucleotides. The record is from Rfam. NCBI's taxonomy places the organism in Eukaryota, Viridiplantae, Streptophyta, Magnoliopsida, Zingiberales, Musaceae.
AUACCUUUCUCGGCCUUUUGGCUAAGAUCAAGUGUAGUAUCUGUUCUUAUCAGUUUAAUAUCUGAUACGUGAGCCAUUGGCUCACUAUGAUAUUAAAUUAAUUUCUUAUGGGGGAGGGUCCUUCACGGUAGCUUGCUACUGGGGCCCUCGAGCGUCGCCAUUGCGUUGCACUACUGCAAGGGCCCGGCGCACCCCUC